RNAcentral lists this ribosomal RNA (496 nucleotides) under uncultured bacterium. RNAcentral describes it as "partial 16S ribosomal RNA". It matches the Rfam family "Bacterial small subunit ribosomal RNA", at positions 28 to 507 of the family's 1533-position model. The record is from RNAcentral.
GAUGAACGCUGGCGGCGUGCCUAAUACAUGCAAGUCGAGCGAACAGACGAGGAGCUUGCUCCUCUGACGUUAGCGGCGGACGGGUGAGUAACACGUGGAUAACCUACCUAUAAGACUGGGAUAACUUCGGGAAACCGGAGCUAAUACCGGAUAAUAUAUUGAACCGCAUGGUUCAAUAGUGAAAGACGGUUUUGCUGUCACUUAUAGAUGGAUCCGCGCCGCAUUAGCUAGUUGGUAAGGUAACGGCUUACCAAGGCGACGAUGCGUAGCCGACCUGAGAGGUGAUCGGCCACACUGGAACUGAGACACGGUCCAGACUCCUACGGGAGGCAGCAGUAGGGAAUCUUCCGCGAUGGGCGAAAGCCUGACGGAGCAACGCCGCGUGAGUGAUGAAGGUCUUCGGAUCGUAAAACUCUGUUAUUAGGGAAGAACAAAUGUGUAAGUAACUAUGCACGUCUUGACGGUACCUAAUCAGAAAGCCACGGCUAACUACGUG